RNAcentral lists this unclassified non-coding RNA (693 nucleotides) under Hevea brasiliensis (rubber tree). Lineage: Eukaryota; Viridiplantae; Streptophyta; Magnoliopsida; Malpighiales; Euphorbiaceae. The record is from RNAcentral.
AACGAACUUUCCAGAGACAUUACAAGCUGGGUACCCCAUGUUCCAUCCUCCAGAAGUCUUCUUAUAGCUAUGCUAGUCUGAACAAAACUGCAAAUAGUAAUGUUCGAUCAUGUCAUAAAUUUUAAGUUUUGGGAUUCUGUCCUAUGGAGCAAUUCUGUUUUGUUAUUUAUAAGGUGAAAAUUGAUCCAUUAAAGAUUGAGAUUUCAUAUCGUAAUUCUUGCUUAGUAGCCUAUGGAGUGAUUACUCUGGCCUUUUAUCCAGUGAACUUGAUUUAUUCUUUGGGCAUGGGGUGGAACAUCUAAUUUAUAAUGUCUAUAGUCUUCUCUCCCCUAAUGUUUGUAUAGGGACUAGAAAGCUAUUCCCUUUUCCCCUCGCCUGGUGCUUUCUGUGCUCACACUUGUAAUUCACUUUUCCUAGCUAUACUUUAUUGACCAUCUUUUGCUUGUUAAGCUAGAUCAAUACUUUUGUUGUUUCGUUAAUUGCUUGGGCCCAAAUAGGUGAACCACAUUUAGAGUCGUGGCAUUGGUUAUUUUAUGCUUAUAUAUAUGCCUUGUACAUGCACGUGUUGCAUUUUUUUUUUCUUAGUUAUGGAUGGUGUUAUUUUGGUGAGUGGCGGAUGGUUGUAUGGUGCCACCAUCUGUAGAAGGGGUGUUACCAGCUUAUGCAUGAUUUGCUAAUAGAAACCUGCAAGAG